GGAGCUUGCUCCCGGAUGUUAGCGGCGGACGGGUGAGUAACACGUGGGUAACCUGCCUGUAAGACUGGGAUAACUCCGGGAAACCGGAGCUAAUACCGGAUAGUUCCUUGAACCGCAUGGUUCAAGGAUGAAAGACGGUUUCGGCUGUCACUUACAGAUGGACCCGCGGCGCAUUAGCUAGUUGGUGGGGUAAUGGCUCACCAAGGCGACGAUGCGUAGCCGACCUGAGAGGGUGAUCGGCCACACUGGGACUGAGACACGGCCCAGACUCCUACGGGAGGCAGCAGUAGGGAAUCUUCCGCAAUGGACGAAAGUCUGACGGAGCAACGCCGCGUGAGUGAUGAAGGUUUUCGGAUCGUAAAGCUCUGUUGUUAGGGAAGAACAAGUGCGAGAGUAACUGCUCGCACCUUGACGGUACCUAACCAGAAAGCCACGGCUAACUACGUGCCAGCAGCCGCGGUAAUACGUAGGUGGCAAGCGUUGUCCGGAAUUAUUGGGCGUAAAGGGCUCGCAGGCGGUUUCUUAAGUCUGAUGUGAAAGCCCCCGGCUCAACCGGGGAGGGUCAUUGGAAACUG
RNAcentral lists this ribosomal RNA (575 nucleotides) under Bacillus sp. (in: firmicutes). Its description in RNAcentral is "bacterial SSU rRNA". It matches the Rfam family "Bacterial small subunit ribosomal RNA", at positions 75 to 635 of the family's 1533-position model. The record is from RNAcentral. Lineage: Bacteria; Bacillati; Bacillota; Bacilli; Caryophanales; Bacillaceae.